UGUUUUAAUAGAUUUUUACGUGUUCUGAAGAUGGAGAAGUUUUUUUAUGGGAAUAUGAAGAUGGCUUAAUAUUAAAGACAUACAACUUAAAUUUCCAAAAUCCAAUCAAAGCAUUUUAUAUUCCACAUAAAGAAUUUUCUUGGUAUGUGAUUGUGAAGAAAAACAAUGAAGAUUUUUAUAGGUUGUUUCAUGUUCCAGUUAAUGCUGGAAAUGUAAAACAAAAAAGAUUUCUUUUAAAACCUGUGCUUCCCAAACAGAACUGUGUCUCAUUUGGAUCUAAAGAAGAAUAUGUAGCUUCUGUAAAUGAUAAUAGUUUGAGAGUUCUGCAUAUCUCCAGUAAUUCUUUUAAAAGGUAAAUUUGAAAAAAAGUAAUAAUUUUAAG
Long non-coding RNA from Centruroides sculpturatus (bark scorpion), 382 nucleotides. RefSeq lists it as uncharacterized. The transcript is spliced from 4 exons. NCBI's taxonomy places the organism in Eukaryota, Metazoa, Arthropoda, Arachnida, Scorpiones, Buthidae. The record is from RefSeq and is a predicted model, not a curated record.